Molecule: ribosomal RNA, 1369 nt
Filed under: uncultured bacterium
Lineage: Bacteria
Description: bacterial SSU rRNA
Rfam family: Bacterial small subunit ribosomal RNA
Source: RNAcentral
GACGAACGCUGGCGGCGUGCCUAAUACAUGCAAGUAGAACGCUGAAGAGAGGAGCUUGCUCUUCUUGGAUGAGUUGCGAACGGGUGAGUAACGCGUAGGUAACCUGCCUUGUAGCGGGGGAUAACUAUUGGAAACGAUAGCUAAUACCGCAUAACAAUGGAUGACACAUGUCAUUUAUUUGAAAGGGGCAAUUGCUCCACUACAAGAUGGACCUGCGUUGUAUUAGCUAGUAGGUGAGGUAACGGCUCACCUAGGCGACGAUACAUAGCCGACCUGAGAGGGUGAUCGGCCACACUGGGACUGAGACACGGCCCAGACUCCUACGGGAGGCAGCAGUAGGGAAUCUUCGGCAAUGGGGGCAACCCUGACCGAGCAACGCCGCGUGAGUGAAGAAGGUUUUCGGAUCGUAAAGCUCUGUUGUAAGUCAAGAACGAGUGUGAGAGUGGAAAGUUCACACUGUGACGGUAGCUUACCAGAAAGGGACGGCUAACUACGUGCCAGCAGCCGCGGUAAUACGUAGGUCCCGAGCGUUGUCCGGAUUUAUUGGGCGUAAAGCGAGCGCAGGCGGUUUGAUAAGUCUGAAGUUAAAGGCUGUGGCUCAACCAUAGUUCGCUUUGGAAACUGUCAAACUUGAGUGCAGAAGGGGAGAGUGGAAUUCCAUGUGUAGCGGUGAAAUGCGUAGAUAUAUGGAGGAACACCGGUGGCGAAAGCGGCUCUCUGGUCUGUAACUGACGCUGAGGCUCGAAAGCGUGGGGAGCGAACAGGAUUAGAUACCCUGGUAGUCCACGCCGUAAACGAUGAGUGCUAGGUGUUGGAUCCUUUCCGGGAUUCAGUGCCGCAGCUAACGCAUUAAGCACUCCGCCUGGGGAGUACGACCGCAAGGUUGAAACUCAAAGGAAUUGACGGGGGCCCGCACAAGCGGUGGAGCAUGUGGUUUAAUUCGAAGCAACGCGAAGAACCUUACCAGGUCUUGACAUCCCGAUGCUAUUUCUAGAGAUAGAAAGUUACUUCGGUACAUCGGUGACAGGUGGUGCAUGGUUGUCGUCAGCUCGUGUCGUGAGAUGUUGGGUUAAGUCCCGCAACGAGCGCAACCCCUAUUGUUAGUUGCCAUCAUUCAGUUGGGCACUCUAGCGAGACUGCCGGUAAUAAACCGGAGGAAGGUGGGGAUGACGUCAAAUCAUCAUGCCCCUUAUGACCUGGGCUACACACAUGCUACAAUGGUUGGUACAACGAGUUGCGAGUCGGUGACGGCAAGCUAAUCUCUUAAAGCCAAUCUCAGUUCGGAUUGUAGGCUGCAACUCGCCUACAUGAAGUCGGAAUCGCUAGUAAUCGCGGAUCAGCACGCCGCGGUGAAUACGUUCCCGGGCCU